This 253-nucleotide ribosomal RNA is filed under the name uncultured bacterium. RNAcentral's name for it is "partial 16S ribosomal RNA". It matches the Rfam family "Bacterial small subunit ribosomal RNA", at positions 524 to 776 of the family's 1533-position model. The record is from RNAcentral.
UACGUAGGGCGCAAGCGUUGUCCGGAAUUAUUGGGCGUAAAGAGCUCGUAGGCGGCUUGUCACGUCGAUUGUGAAAGCCCGAGGCUUAACCUCGGGUCUGCAGUCGAUACGGGCUAGCUAGAGUGUGGUAGGGGAGAUCGGAAUUCCUGGUGUAGCGGUGAAAUGCGCAGAUAUCAGGAGGAACACCGGUGGCGAAGGCGGAUCUCUGGGCCAUUACUGACGCUGAGGAGCGAAAGCCAGGGGAGCGAACGGG